Molecule: ribosomal RNA, 404 nt
Filed under: uncultured Phocaeicola sp.
Lineage: Bacteria; Pseudomonadati; Bacteroidota; Bacteroidia; Bacteroidales; Bacteroidaceae
Description: bacterial SSU rRNA
Rfam family: Bacterial small subunit ribosomal RNA
Source: RNAcentral
CCUACGGGAGGCAGCAGCUGAGAAUCUUCCGCAAUGGACGAAAGUCUGACGGAGCAAUACCGCGUGAAUGAUGAAGGCUGAAAGGUUGUAAAAUUCUUUUGCAGACAAAGAAUAAGCACAGUAGUAAAUGACUGUGUGAUGACGGUAGUUAUGCGAAUAAGCCCCGGCUAAUUACGUGCCAGCAGCCGCGGUAAUACGUAAGGGGCGAGCGUUGUUCGGAAUUAUUGGGCGUAAAGGGCAUGUAGGCGGUUGGGUAAGCCUGGCGUGAAAUCUACGAGCUUAACUCGUAAACUGCGUUGGGUACUGCCCAUCUUGAAUCAUAGAGGGGAAACUGGAAUUCCAAGUGUAGGGGUGGAAUCUGUAGAUAUUUGGAAGAACACCGGUGGCGAAGGCGGGUUUCUAGC